CCCAGCAGAGGCUGGGGUAGGAAGAUGAAGGGAUGGCUGAAUCCCUCCCUGAUUCUGAGUUCCAACCCUUGCCCACGGCAGCCUGAGGGCAGACGGCCCGUGGGUGUGGUCCCUGGGGUCAGCUGCCCAGGCAGGAAGCAGGGGCAGGGAGAGCGGUCCCGGAGGGGAGGAGGCCGCUGUCUCCCGCUGUUCUGUGUGACCCAGGGCCAGCGGGGACCCCCCACAGCCCCUCCACCCUCCUUACAUCUGUAAGUGGAGCCCAGCUCUCCUGCCCCGGGACACCAGCCACCCUGUGCGACUUGUGCCUAGAGGGUAGCCUGUGGAGGCAGUGGCCUUGGGCAUUGAAGUCACAGAAGCCUUUCUCCGGGGUCUCCAUGUGUCCACGUCACGAGGGACCACAGCCACCUCUGGAGGGGCUGCGUGCAGCUGGGGGGGCGACGGGGCCCUGAGAUGGGACCCAGCCGUGUGCCCAGAGCCACGGGGACCACGGGACCCCGGGGGCCAGGGGUGUGGACUGCCGUGUCGCAGGCCUCCGCGCUUCCGAGUGAUUUACCACGUGGCCAUCCAGACAGCGGCAGUAAGCGUUUCACAAGGCCUUGGUGAAGGAAGUCGCCGGCCCCUGACCAGGAGGAGCUGCUGAGAGUGGUGUGAGUCUGAGAGAAGCCGCCGCUGAGAAGUAUCCCGGAAUUUCAGCCACGCGGCAGUGACCUGGGUCUGCUGGGGCAGUCUCCCAGUCGCCCUCUACGCCCUGCCCUGGAGGUGAGAGGUGACAGGCUUGGAUCUGGCCUCUCUGGGAGGCUUUGGCCGCCACCAGGCUUGAGAUCCUGGCCAGCCCAGCCCGCAGGCACUUAGCGGGGGAUUUGGCCUCCAGGAGUCAGCUGGCAGAUUAGCGGGUCCUGCCUGGGAACACCAUGGGUGAAGUGGGCCCUGGCUCAGGGUGCCUGAGGGCGCAGGGUGCGACUGCCCCCCCACCCCCCACCCCGUCUGGUGGCCUGACACUUCCCCCUGCUCACCAUGAGGGGCUGAGACUCUGGGUGCAGAUCCCAGCUGCUUCUUCAUCUAUAAAGUAGGGAUGUGGUUGCAUUGGGCAGGGUCAGGGACACAGAAGCAUAAUCAUGGGUGUUUAGAAAGAGAUUGAUUUUAAGGAUCCUGCUUACACAAUGAUGCGGGCUAGUGAAUCCGAAAUCUGCCGGGCAGGCUACAGGCUGGAAAACCAGGAAGAGUUCUUGUUGCAGUCUUGAGUUCAGAGGUCUCAGG
Molecule: long non-coding RNA, 1257 nt
Filed under: Marmota monax (woodchuck)
Lineage: Eukaryota; Metazoa; Chordata; Mammalia; Rodentia; Sciuridae
Source: RNAcentral